AUCUAAAAUUAGAAUCAGAAAUAUUUGGCAAAGCAUGGGAAAUCUGGAAUAAACUUUAGAUUGAUAUAGACCGUGGUGUCAAGGUUUGUUUAUAAUGUUGAUUUAAAAAAUAAAAUAAAAAUGACAUUUUUGGUUGGUUUGACCUCUUAAAACCUGAGCUAAUAUGUGAGCUAAAUCUCUACACACAAAUAGGGUCCCAGUUAAGCUAAAUGUCAUGAUUCUGCCCCACCCUCACCUGCCUGAUUGCUCAUUCUGAACACCUGCGUGCUCCUCUAUUUAAGACUCUUCCCCUUCAGGCUCAGUACUGGAUUGUUGUCUACUCCCUGAAGUUCUCAGUACGCACGCCUUGCUAUUUUGUCUCGUCCUCGACCCUGCUCACGCUCUGGAUUCCUGCUCCUGUCUUCACCCUUCGGUACCUCCGCCUUGGACCCACUCUGAUCUCUGUGUUGCCGACCCUCGCUUCGUCCACGUCUUGCCGCCCCUGCCUUCUCCUCUGGAUAUUUCUGCCGCCCUGAAGAACCCUUGGACUCCCCCCUACUGCUUGGAGGACCUUACUGCAGACCUAAUAAACUGCUUUACUUAACUAAAA
Oryzias melastigma (Indian medaka) is the source of this 589-nucleotide long non-coding RNA. RefSeq lists it as uncharacterized. NCBI's taxonomy places the organism in Eukaryota, Metazoa, Chordata, Actinopteri, Beloniformes, Adrianichthyidae. The record is from RefSeq and is a predicted model, not a curated record. The transcript is spliced from 2 exons.